AUGCUUCUCCUAAAGACUAAGCCAUGCAUGUCUUCGAAUAAGAGGAAGCAAUUCUCUCUGAAUCUGCGAACGGCUCCGCAAACCAGUUGUAAACCACAGCAAGCCUGCAACGGUUGGACCUCGGUCUGGCCCGCGCGAUACGGAUAACCCUGGUAAUUCUAAGGUCUAAUACGUGUAUGGAACACCCGGUGGACCGGCUUCGGCUGGGAAACCGGGAGACGAGUGAUGGAAUGGUUUGGAUUACCAGGAACGGGCG
This 256-nucleotide ribosomal RNA is filed under the name uncultured Lamproderma sp. Its description in RNAcentral is "partial 18S ribosomal RNA". It matches the Rfam family "Eukaryotic small subunit ribosomal RNA", at positions 28 to 253 of the family's 1831-position model. Lineage: Eukaryota; Evosea; Eumycetozoa; Stemonitida. The record is from RNAcentral.